Molecule: long non-coding RNA, 1888 nt
Filed under: Equus asinus (donkey)
Lineage: Eukaryota; Metazoa; Chordata; Mammalia; Perissodactyla; Equidae
Description: lncRNA (ENSEASG00005037377.1)
Source: RNAcentral
CAGGGAAGUAAAAAGAGCCGGAAUUACAAACCAGGGCAGCCUUCCUGGGAAGCCCACACUCCUAGCCGCCUACCACAGCUAGCUGUUAGAAGCCAACCUUUCAAAAUGGCUUAAACUGGGGCCAGGGCGAGUCUAGAACUAUUGAAAAGUUUGACUCUCCUGGCAUCAGAUGGACGGAGGUCAGAAAAUAGACACUUUCUUUAAAGAAUGUGUAUUUAGAAGAAGAUUUUAAAUAAGCCAGAAGAACUUGCUCUUUAAAGUAAUACAGUAAAUACUUCAUUUAUAAGGCAACGAGUGUGUGUGUGUAUGUACCCAUUUUUAUUUGGGCAAAUUUGGAGUUCUUGAUAUUCAGUUUGGAUUGGUACAUACAACACACUCCUACAAAAUACAUUCCAGAAUUGAGCAGUAGGAAAAUAUGGAAAAACAAGAUUAAAGGACCAUAGUAGAUUUAUUAGGAAACAGAGAAUAUCUUAUUUAAAAAGAGUAAAUGAAGUAGGAGAAAGCUCAAAUAUUACCCAUGAAUAAAAAACAGGAAAGCUACUUAAAAAGGUCUCUAUACAAAAUGCACAAGGAAAUCCGAUGAAGACAGUUACUCUGAAAGGGACAAAGUGAAUUAUUCUCCAUAGACAAUUAAACCAGGUAGUUUUGCUGCGUAGCCCAUCCAACCAGACAUCCUGUCCACUAGUCCAAUGGCUUUGGGGUACGUGAGACCGCCUGGGUUCUGAGAAGUGGAGAUCUUCUGAAUUCUAAGAAUUCUUAGCAUGGAAAACAAGUGAACAGGUGAAGCUGUGCAUGGAAGGGAGGGGGCUGGAACACGAAACUGCCUGUGUUUCAACCUGCCACUGACGCUCUCUAGCAACGCGACCUUGGGUGAGUUGUUCAGCAUCUCCUUGCACAUCCAGGUGGGUGAUUCAGCAGCUCACCCAUCUGUAAAAUGGCUGAGGAUUACUGGAGGACCUGCUCCUGAGUGUGUGAGCAUUAGAUGACCCACUUAUAGCGCAUCUGCAACAGAGGAUGGCAGAUAAAGAUUAACCAUCACUCCUCUCAGCUCUGUCUCCAAGCAGGCUCAAAGUAAAUAUUUGAGGGCUGAAUUAAUGAAUGACAAAGGAUCAAUUCCUUUUACUCCUUUGGAUUUAUUAAUGGAUACAAACUAUGGUAAUUCCAUGGUGCUGACACACAAUAGGUCCUCUUUACUGUCAAAAUGUAUAAAGAUAUUAGACCUAUCAGAGAAAACGAAAAUCACACAUCAGCACAUGUUCUAUCCAUCUCAAUUGCAAUCAUCUUUGUUUCUGAUUAAGCAUCUUUAAUAGUUUUAUAGGUUAGAAAAAGGGCCUGAAGUUAGUAGAGUACUAUAGAAAGUGGGUAAGCCAGUAGACGGCUAAAUUACCUUGAGACUUAAACCAGAUACUUAAAACUGAAAAGGAGAGGCUUUGGGGGACUUCGAAUACUUAUUUACUUGAUUUAAAUAAAUGUGAAAAUCACAGAACUGACACUACUUUCAAGUGAAUGGAUUUAGCCAGUGAAUGCUCAAACUCAGUGUGAAACCAGAUAGCCAUGAGCCACCCAGACUCAGAUGACAGCACAAACAAAAUUUUGUUCAUUGUUAGCUACAUCUUCCUGCUCCACUCCCUGGGGAAUGUGGGCAUCCUGUCUCCGGUCACCCGUCAUAUCAGAGAACUCAGGAAGUGCGGUUUAUAAAUAUCUCCAGGUGAGUUCAAGUGGGACAGAAUCUCAGAGGCUGCAUUUUGCACCGUUUCUCAUUUUGUGCCAUUGAAUUACUGGGUUGAGUUCAUCUAAAUUGCCAAGUCAGAAAAAAGAGGAGCUGAAUUCACAAUCUGUUACUGUUGCCAGAAAGAAGACAGGCUGCCUAGUUAAAUUUCAAUUUCAG